This 460-nucleotide ribosomal RNA is filed under the name uncultured bacterium. RNAcentral's name for it is "partial 16S ribosomal RNA". It matches the Rfam family "Bacterial small subunit ribosomal RNA", at positions 338 to 795 of the family's 1533-position model. The record is from RNAcentral.
CCUACGGGAGGCUGCAGUGAGGAAUAUUGGUCAAUGGACGAGAGUCUGAACCAGCCAAGUAGCGUGAAGGAUGACUGCCCUAUGGGUUGUAAACUUCUUUUAUAUGGGAAUAAAAUGUUCCACGUGUGGGAUUUUGUAUGUACCAUAUGAAUAAGGAACGGUUAACUCCGUGCCAGCAGCCGCGGUAAUACGGAGGAUCCGAGCGUUAUCCGGAUUUAUUGGGUUUAAAGGGAGCGUAGGUGGAUUGUUAAGGCAGUUGUGAAAGUUUGCGGCUCAACCGUAAAAUUGCAGUUGAAACUGGCAGUCUUGAGUACAGUAGAGGUGGGCGGAAUUCGUGGUGUAGCGGUGAAAUGCUUAGAUAUCACGAAGAACUCCGAUUGCGAAGGCAGCUCACUGGACUGCAACUGACACUGAGGCUCGAAAGUGUGGGUAUCGAACAGGAUUAGAUACCCGUGUAGUC